This 464-nucleotide ribosomal RNA is filed under the name Vreelandella stevensii. Its description in RNAcentral is "partial 16S ribosomal RNA". It matches the Rfam family "Bacterial small subunit ribosomal RNA", at positions 339 to 795 of the family's 1533-position model. The record is from RNAcentral. Lineage: Bacteria; Pseudomonadati; Pseudomonadota; Gammaproteobacteria; Oceanospirillales; Halomonadaceae.
CCUCGGGUGGCAGCAGUGGGGAAUAUUGGACAAUGGGCGAAAGCCUGAUCCAGCCAUGCCGCGUGUGUGAAGAAGGCCUUCGGGUUGUAAAGCACUUUCAGUGGGGAAGAAAGCCUUGGGGCUAAUACCCUCGAGGAAGGACAUCACCCACAGAAGAAGCACCGGCUAACUCCGUGCCAGCAGCCGCGGUAAUACGGAGGGGUGCGAGCGUUAAUCGGAAUUACUGGGCGUAAAGCGCGCGUAGGCGGUCUGAUAAGCCGGUUGUGAAAGCCCCGGGCUCAACCUGGGAACGGCAUCCGGAACUGUCAGGCUAGAGUGCAGGAGAGGAAGGUAGAAUUCCCGGUGUAGCGGUGAAAUGCGUAGAGAUCGGGAGGAAUACCAGUGGCGAAGGCGGCCUUCUGGACUGACACUGACGCUGAGGUGCGAAAGCGUGGGUAGCAAACAGGAUUAGAUACCCAGUAGUC